GGCUAAUCAGAUAUGCUGUAUUAUACUAAUGAUGGUAGGAUAGGCGUAGUACUUACCCCUUACUUGUGGGAAUUUUGGAUUGUAUGACAAAUAGAAUAGCAACCUCGGAUGGCAUAGGUAAGACUUUGGUAGCAGUGUUUAACAAGAAUGUAACAAAAUAGUAGUUGUACAUGUGUAUAACAAGGAUGUAAAGUGUUAGUAGUGGUAUAAAAUAUGAUGGUCUAAUAUAAGGUAUAAUAGUACUAUGUAAAUGGACAUGCAUAGAGUGUGUAGACCCUUUGGGAUUUUGGACAAGAUUAGAUGAAAGAAAAUUGAGUGUUAAGUUUGAGAAAGACCUUGCAGAAAAUGCAGGUAUUUUAAGGACCUAAGGGCAAUAGAAAAGUAGUUGUGAAAAGCGGUUGGUCUAACCAUAGGGGUAGUGUUAUUUUCUUUGAGGAUUUUAGAAGCUUCAAUUAUGAUUUGAGUAAGACAAGUCUAGUUACUUUGUUGUAUGGGUUCAAGCAUGUGAUCCUUAAAUGUUGUUCUUAUAAGCUUUGUGGUUGUUUCAGAUGAUGAACACUCAUUGAUCCCAAACCCUCAGACGAAGGGGUGGCAAUUAGGAGAAGGAGACACAACGUCCCCAGGAAGAGAGAGUAGAGUUGUCUCAAGAAAAUUCUUCUCAAGGUGGAAGUCAGGGAAGUGGGGAUUGUAUAGAUCGGGUGGAGUGAGUUCUAGAACACAUGGUCACAUAUAUGCAAGGGACUCAGCCAAUGGGUCAAAGUAUUCCUCAGGUGCCGGAUGCCAUCGACCGGUUCCAAUGAUUAAGUCCCCUUGUGUUUCGCGGAAAGGAAAGCGCUGAUCCGAGCGAAAGUGAGUAUUGGAUAGAACAACUCGAGAAGAUUUUUUAUUUCAUUGGAUGUGGGGAAUGGGAGAAAGUAGUUUGUGCCACUUUCAUACUUCGGGAUGAGGCGCACCAUUUGUGGCGAACGAUGCAAAGGACUUUGCUUGGCCCUACGAGACAAGGUAUGCCAGUUGUCACAUGGACUCAAUUUAAAGAAUUAUUUUACACUAAGUAUUUUCCUUUAUGCAAAAAGUCGAAAAAGAGCCGAGAAUUUAUGAAUUUGAAACAAACUAAGGAUAUGUCAGUCGCCCAGUAUGAAGAUAGUUUUUCUUAGUUAAUUAAAUACAUGCCUGUUUAUAAUUUGGAUAAAGAGGCAAAAUCUCAGAAAUUUCUUGGCGGGUUAAGACUUGAGAUACAACUGGCAUUAUGUUCCUUAGGGGCCCGUGCUUAUGCAGAGGUUGUUAUGCAAGCUUUAACGGUUGAAAGUAACCUUGUUCGAAUGAAUGCUUUAAAGGUAGAAGUGCAGGAACCCAAGGACAAGAAUGCCGGAAGGAAGCAUCACUUAGGAGUCCGAGGAGGAAACUUUAAGCCUAAGAGUAGGUGUCCCAAGUGUCAAAAGUUCCAUCCUGGAAGGGUGUGCCAAAGUCGGACUCAAGGAUGCUAUUCUUGUGAAAGGAGUGACCACUUGGCCCGAGAUUGUCCCAAAGGACCUAAGUGUUUCAACUGUCAGAAGAUCGGUCAUCUUUCAAAGGACUGUCCACAGAGGAGGCAAGUCGAUCAAGCGGGAGUAAGCAGAGGAGGCCAAGAACCGCAAUAAGGCCGGGUGUAUCAUCUGACGAGGGAGAAUGCCAACGCAAGCUCGUCAAUCAUACAAGGUACAUUGAUCUUUCUCAAUACACCUGUGUGAGUGUUAAUUGAUCCUGGAUCAACACAUUCAUUCAUUUCACAUGCGUUGAUACAAAGUUUGAAUUUGGAAUUGGAGGAUUUGGUAUGUCUUAUGCUUGUGGCUACUCCUUUAGGGAAACAAGUGGAAACUAGCACGGGAUAUAGGGAAGGAAGGGUUGAGUUGGGUGAUAGUGAAUUUUCACUUGAACUCACGUCAUUAGAAAUCCAAGAUUUUGAUAUAAUUCUUGAAAUGGAUUUUCUGUCCAAAUAUAAGGCCCGAAUUGAUUGUCAGACAAAAACAGUAGAAAUUCAAAAUAACCAAGGAAUUUGGGAAAAAUUUCGGGGACAAGAGAGUGAUAAAAAGAUUAAGUGGAUCACGGCCCUCAAAGCUAUCAAAAUGCUUGAGAAUGGAGCCUAUGGGUACUUGGCGGGGGUGCAAAUAGAAAAUAAGAAAGUGAAACUUGAGGAGACACCAGUAGUUAAUGAAGUUUCUGAUGGGUUUCCCGAAGACUUACCUGGGUUACCCCCUCAUCGGGAAAUUGAAUUUUCUAUAGAAGUUGUACUAGGAAUAAAUCCCAUAUCCAUAUCCCCGUAUAGAAUGGCCCCAAUAGAACUAAAAGAGCUCAGAAGUCAGUUGUAGGACCUUUUAGACAAAGGAUUUAUUCAACCCAGUACCUCACCUUGAGGAGCACCUGUGUUGUUUGUUAAAAAGAAAGACGAAACUCUGAGGAUGUGUAUUGAUUAUAGGCAGCUAAAUAAAGUGACUAUCAAAAAUGAGUAUCCUCUCCCUAGGAUUGAUGAACUGUUUGAUCAGUUGCAGGGUGCCAAAAUAUUUUCCAAAAUUGAUUUGAGGUCUGGUUAUUAUCAGUUAAGGAUCAAGAAUGAGGAUAUUCGAAAGAUUGCCUUUAGAUCCCGAUAUGGACACUAUGAGUACCUAGUGAAGCCUUUUGCCUUUAUGGAUUUAAUGAACCGGGUGUUCAAACCAUAUUUGGAUAAAUUACUAAUUGUGUUUAUUGAUGACAUCCUAAUUUCUUCUACUAGUAGAGAGGAGCACGAGCAACAUUUGUGGAUUGUCUUGGUAACAUUGCGAAAGCACCAAUUAUAUGCUAAGUUUUCAAAAUGUGAGUUCUGGUUAAAUCAAGUUGUUUUCUUGGUCAUGUCAUAUCUGAAAAAGGAAUAGCGCUAGAUCCCUCAAAGGUCGAAGCAAUAAGGAACUGGUCACAACCCAAAACAGUAAACGAGGUACGAAUUUUCUUGGGUUUAGCUGGCUACUAUAGAAAAUUUGUUGAAGGAUUUUCUCGCCUUGCUCUACCUUUGACUCAAUUAACACGAAAGGGAAUUAAAUUUGAAUGGAACGAGAUGUGUGAACAUAGCUUUAAGAAACUUAAGGAGAGGCUAACCUCUACUCCGGUCUUAGCAAUACCUGAUGAUACAGGAGGAUUUACAGUUUAUACUAAUGCCUCGAAGACUGGGCUGGGGUGUGUUCUUAUGCAGAAUGGAAGAGUGAUAGCCUAUGGGUCUCGGCAGUUGAAAAAGCACGAACAGCAUUACCCUACCCAUGAUUUGGAGCUUGCGGCAAUUGUGUUUGCCUUAAAACUCUGGUGGCAUUAUUUGUAUGGAGAAAAAAUUGAGGUCUUCACGGAUCAUAAAAGCUUGAAGUAUCUAUUUUCCCAGAAAGACCUGAACAUGAGGCAACAACAAUGGAUGGAGUUUCUGAAGGAUUAUGAUUGUUCGCUUCAGUACCAUCCCGGGAAGGCAAAUGUUGUGGCCGAUGCAUUGAGCAGAAAAGAGCCUUCCUUGAUGGCUAGUUUGAUGACUCGGGAGUGGGAAUUGAUGGAGGCUUUUGGCCAGUUGGCAGUAAAUGUAAUUCCUAAAGAAACUUCUAUUUAUGUCGCUGGCCUAGUGGUUCAUUCUCAACUGUUAGAAUAGAUUCGGCAAGCCACUAAGGAAGACCUGAGAUUGAAACUGUGGGUUGGCGACCAAGGGCAGGUCAAGAAUCCAAGUUUUAAUUUCUCAGAUGGCAUACUAUGGUUCGCCAACAGAGUUAUGUACCUAGAGUAAGGGAAUUGAGGCAAACUAUACUGGACGAAGCUCAUAGAGCCAAGUAUAUGAUUAAUCCUGGCGCUAUGAAGAUGUACAGGGAAUUGAAAGGUGUAUAUUGGUGGCCGGGAAUGAAAAAAGAUGUGGCGCGACAAGUGGCUCAGUGUGAUACCUGUCAAAGAAUUAAAAUUGAGCACCAAAGACCAGUUGGAAAGUUGCAACCUCUGAAAAUUCCUGAGUGGAAGUGGGAACAUAUCACUAUGGACUUCGUAAUAGGAUUGCCUAAAGGACUCUCAGGGAAUGACGCAAUUUGGGUGAUUGUGGACAGACUGACAAAGUUUACUCACUUCUUAUCAAUGAAGACAGGACAACUUGUUAGCAAACUAGCUCAACUGUACAUAAAGGAAAUCGUCAGACUACAUGGGGUACCAGUCAGCAGUGUCUCUGAUAGAGAUCCAAGAUUUACCUCUCGGUUUUGGAGAAACUCGCAAGAGUGACUGGGAACACGCUUGCAGAUGAGUAUUGCAUACCAUCCACAAACAGAUGGCCAGUCGGAACAAACCAUUCAAACCUUGGAAGACAUGCUAAGAGUGUGUGUAAUUGACUUCUCAAAGGGAUGGGAAGAACAUUUGCCUUUAAUUGAGUUUGCAUAUAAUAAUAGUUUCCAUAGUAGUGUCGGAAUGGCCCCCUACGAAGCUCUCUACGGUCGAAAAUGUAGAACUCCUCUAUGUUGGACGAAAGUAGGAGAAGGGAGAAUAACAGGACCUGAAAGUGUACAGCAAACAAAUGAGAAAAUCAAGAUAAUCCGAGAACGGAUUAAAAUGACUCAGAGUAGACAAAAGUCUUAUGCGGAUCACCGGAGAAGGGACUUGGAGUUUCAACCAGGCGAUAAAGUAUAUUUAAAGGUCAUACCCUCUCAAGUAAUAUCCCAAGGAAAGAAGAAAGGGAAGUUGAGCCCUAGAUACAUUGGACCAUAUGAGAUCUUGGAGCGAGUUGGGGUAGUUGCUUACCGUUUGGCAUUACCUCCGAUAAUGUCCAACAAAUAUAAUGUCUUCCAUAUCUCACGACUUCGGAAGCACGAGCCUGACCCUACCCAGAAGAUACGAGAAGAUUUAACCUAUCCUGAAGAACCAGUCGAAAUUUUAGAUACAAAGGAACAAGUGUUAAGAAACAAGACGAUACCGCUAGUGAAAGUCUUGUGGAGACAUUACAACAUUGAGGAAGCUACUUGGGAAAGGGAAGAAGAAAUUCGACAAAAUUAUCCAAACCUCAUUGACUUUAUGAAGACUUAAGGAAAUUUUGGAAACGAAAUUUAUUUUAAGGGGGAGGAUGUAAUACCCCAAAAUUUAAUGUAAAUGUUGGAUGUUGCAAUAAAGUGUUUUAAAUGGAAGUUUUGAAUUAAAGUGUAAACAAAAAUGGUUUUAGGACCCAAAUGCAAAUAUCAUAAUUUUUAAAAGAGAUAGCUUGUCUCCAACGAAUAGGAAUAUUUGCAAUGAUGAAUUCUUAUCUAAGAAGACUUGAGUUGGAAAGUUGGGAUUGGAGAAUUUUCCCUAAAGUUCUAAGGCCUUAUGAUGGUAAUAAUUGGAUUCACCCUAAAAGUCAAAAGUAAUAUAACUUGUAAGUUUUACAUUGGCUUACAAAAGAGGUGGAUAAAGAAACUUAUCUUGAAUGCCACGUGAGGGUGCAUUUGGAAGCCUUGGAUUGGAAGAAUAAAAGACUUCAUUUGAAAGAGAGAAUCAAAUGAAGAAAUUUCAAAGCUUUUCAUAAUUACUAGGGUAGAAAAAAUGGCUAACUUAAGAGCUAAGUGAAAUCUUUGAGAUUUGGGGUUGAAGGGCUAUAUAAAGAGAAGAAGGAAGGGCCACGUAAAGCUAAAAGUAAGAGAGAAAGCAAGGGAAGAAAAGGAUCCAAGGGAAAAAAAAAAGCAAAGGAAGGAGAAUAGAGAGAACUGACCGGAAAAUCGCUAAAACAGAAAGGGAACCAAAAAGGUAAGCCACUUUUCUUUUCGUGGGGUCGUAGAGCACUGAAAGGGGAGUUCAUAGGUUCAAACGAAAGACGAAUCAGAGUUAAAAUGAAAGAGUUAUAGUCGUUUUAAACUUUUGGUACAGAAUCCGUAAGAAGCAGGGGUCGGCGCGUGCAUCACACAUGCUAGCCGCAACUGCGCGUGGUUGGGCUUCUUGUUCCGUAAUUUUGAGGAUUUGCUUCUUAAAUCAUUCUCUAUGAUUGUAUGUAAAAAUAUUUUGAUUUGGUGACCAGAACUGUAUGAAACUACAGCUUAAUCGGGCUAAAAUUCGUAGAAACGAUGAACCAUCAAGAACUACAGCAAGUGUAAGUGGUUUUCUACAUCAUUUGUGCUUCAUAUUGAUCAUUCCUUGAAUCAUUUGUGUUAUAUGUGGACAUACUCACUUGCUCUCUUUGUUUGGCAUGAAACUUUACUUAUUUCAUCACUUCAUGGCAUGUGGUUGUUUGUGGCAAGCUAGUGGCCGCCAUGAGUGGCUCUUGGAGUCACAUAUGCGUGUUUUGAGGUAUGUUUGGUGUGCCAGGAGCUAAGGAGGCGGGCGAAGCAAAUGGGAAAGAAUUUGUGGACGUUUAAAUACUUUUUUUGUCGUUUUAUGUAAUCCUAUUUCAGAAGUGUUGUAAUUAUUCGGAGAUUGUACUUCUUUUUCUUAUAUUAGAUUUUAACUCUAUCCUAUUGAAGGGUUUGUGCAUAUUUAGUUUGUAUGGGAACCCUACAAACAUUCUGGCAGGUUCGAUCCAUUGUUUUCGCUGCUUAGGGUUUCUUAACACCUCUUGGGCAAUUAGGUGUAAACCUACCAUGUUACUUGAGACGAGGAGGUGUUACAAGAAUUCUCUAUAAAUUGGCCAUGGGUGGAAGCUUAAGGCAUAUUAGUGGAAAUUGAGCUAAAACUAGGCUAAUUUCUAAUUUGAGGGGAUUAAGAGUGAGGAACAAGUUCUUGAAAGUGAGGGAAAGAUUAUGUGGAAAGGAACGAUUUUCGUCAAGAAACGAGAGAGAAACGGAGCUUCACCAGAAACUGGGUUGAAGCUACUGAAAAACAGUUAGGGAAGGUUGGUUUAAGCCUAUAUUCGGGCAGAGGGGAGAGAGAGAAAGGUAUAGGAACAAACGGGGAGUGGAAUGGAGCUAAAACAAGGGAGGAAAAGGUAAAAAAUUGAGGAAUAAUCAAAAUCACGUCAUUGUCUCUGAGGAAGAAGACCGGUUAUGGUGCACACAUUAGUUCAGCUAGUGUGUAAAGGCGUGUGGAUCACCUUCUUGGAACACGUGCGAGCGUGUGGUAAGUCCUAAAAACCUAUAAAAAUAUAUAAAAAAAUCAAGAAAAAUAAGAUAAAGAGGUUUAUGGAAAAAAAAGAUGGUACUUGUUUUAGAAAAACUCGUGUUUAUUGCAGAAAACCAAGACUAGUAAGUGUGAACAGUGCUUCUACUAGUAAAAUAGUGAGGUGAGUGGUUUCUCAUGUAAUUUGUAUCAUCCUGAACAUUUAUAAUUUCAUUCCAUGUGGUUUGUGGCUCGCAUGUCAUGUUCUCCUAUUAAAAAAACAUAUUACUCCCAUUUACCAUGCAUCACAACAAUAUUGCUAGUUGAUGCCAGGGUCAUCAUGCGUGAUCGAGAAAGGAUCACGCCCAUGCGGUCGGGAAAAGGAGUGUGGACAUGAUCAACGGGGAUGAUUGCAAUAUUCUGGCCUCAUUACCAUGGGUACAUAUGGACAAGCAAAGGAAAAGGCAAAGAGAUGGUUAAAGUCUAGUUUAGCUUUCUAGUAGUCAUUAUGUACAUAUAUGUCUUAAGUGUUGUUCUACAAAUGCUAUAUAGACAAAAACUACUAUAAAGCUUUGGGUCUACCAUUAUUUCUUUGACUUUUGAAGUUAUGUGUUAUAGUUGUAGUUGUACUCAAGAAAUUUAGUGGAAAUCCUAGCUAUUUAGCUUUUUAGGUUCGAAUCCUUCACUUCCACCGGUAAGGAUUUUCAUAACGCCCGUAUGUAAUAUUUAGCAACAUUGUGUAUUUAGAGACAUGGCAUUACAAUUAAGGCAUAUGUAACUUUAGCCA
Diospyros lotus (date-plum) is the source of this 7798-nucleotide long non-coding RNA. RefSeq lists it as uncharacterized. Lineage: Eukaryota; Viridiplantae; Streptophyta; Magnoliopsida; Ericales; Ebenaceae. The record is from RefSeq and is a predicted model, not a curated record. The transcript is spliced from 3 exons.